UACAGAGGUGGCAAGCGUUGUUCGGAAUUACUGGGCGUAAAGGGCGCGUAGGCGGUCUUUUAAGUUCCGUGUGAAAUCCCUCGGCUCAACUGGGGAACUGCACGGGAAACUGGAAGGCUUGAGUUCGGGAGAGGGAAGCGGAAUUCCGGGUGUAGCGGUGAAAUGCGUAGAUAUCCGGAGGAACACCGGUGGCGAAGGCGGCUUCCUGGACCGACACUGACGCUGAGGCGCGAAAGCUAGGGGAGCAAACGGG
RNAcentral lists this ribosomal RNA (253 nucleotides) under uncultured bacterium. Its description in RNAcentral is "partial 16S ribosomal RNA". It matches the Rfam family "Bacterial small subunit ribosomal RNA", at positions 524 to 776 of the family's 1533-position model. The record is from RNAcentral.